CCUACGGGUGGCAGCAGUGGGGAAUAUUGGGCAAUGGGCGCAAGCCUGACCCAGCAACGCCGCGUGAAGGAAGAAGGCUUUCGGGUGGUAAACUUCUUUUAAGAGGGAAGAGCAGAAGACGGUACCUCUUGAAUAAGCCACGGCUAACUACGGGCCAGCAGCCGCGGUAAUACGUAGGUGGCAAGCGUUGUCCGGAUUUACGGGGUGUAAAGGGCGUGCAGCCGGGAAGACAAGUCAGAUGUGAAAUCCCGCGGCUCAACCGCGGAACUGCAUUUGAAACUGUUUUUCGUGAGUACCGGAGAGGUCAUCGGACUUCCUUGUGUCGCGGUGAACUCCUUAUCUCUAAGGAAGAACACCAGUGGC
This 363-nucleotide ribosomal RNA is filed under the name uncultured bacterium. RNAcentral's name for it is "partial 16S ribosomal RNA". It matches the Rfam family "Bacterial small subunit ribosomal RNA", at positions 338 to 716 of the family's 1533-position model. The record is from RNAcentral.